CAACAUAGCCCGCGUCGUUCAACCUCAAUUAUUCCGUUUAUUUGGACACCUUCAAGUUUUUCUAUCGUUCAGACGCCUCACGAAAGCUGGCCAUUUUUACACGACAAAGGCCCAUAUUUUCUUGGAACCUCAGCAUAGCGCCACUCCCCAAACCAAGAGGCGUGCACAGUCGUGUUUACCGUCGUCGAUCUAAACGUUUUCGACCGUCGUAUGUUUUGACGAGUCCUUGCAUCGUUGGAUUGAAGCGGAUUGAUUAUUCUCGAAAUAAUUACGAUCACAACAGCACCGCAAGAUGGCGGACGGUAAAGAAAGCUCAGAAGACGAAACCGACGAGAGUUGAUUGACAUUUAAACGUGUACGAAGCGUCGUUGUCAGAUAAUAAGCGAAAAGUUAAAAAGCUGCAGGAUAUGAGAGAUGAAAAUCGACUGGAAGAUUUAUCGUUUUAGCUCGUACCUCAGCCACUUGGCGAGAAUAAAAAGGCCGAAGAAAUGGAGAAUAGAAGAAUGAAAAAAAUGGAAAAAAAUCGUCUCUCUUUCUCGUGCUGCUGGCAUUAAUGGGGCACACGCAUUUCUGCAUUGGUAUAUAAGGCUGGAUUUCUUUUCGCGGCUACAUAAGUGAUUCCCGGAAUUACAUCCUACAUCACCGCAAGCCCAACGUGUACAUAAGAAGUGAUCGUCAGCGGAGUCGGGACCUUCCGCCUCAGAAUGCAGUUCGAAUAUCCCCAGGACGAUUAAAACUUGAUGAAAACUCGUUGAAUUUCAUCACGAAGGAUAAUUUCUCAAGGCUUCUUAAAAAAUUCGAGGGAAUUACCUCAAGCCCUCUUUGCGUAUGUCGCUCGUGAAGAAACACACGUGGCUGGUCACGUGGUUAGAUUUUCAUUCAUGAAAACGUGCGCGAAGUUACAGCGAGGAUAGUAACGCAACGUUCGAACGAGAGGAGGCUAUGAGGCAGAAGCUCUUUGCGCGUAACACGUGACGGUGUUGGCUGAUGGUUAUCGUCACGGUAUGUACAUAUACCUGGCCGUAUAUGUAUACACACAUGGAGGAAAAGAGAGCGAGAGAGAGAGAUUUGUUGUAAAAGUCGAUAGGGGUAAUGGUCGAGUCCCCGCUACAGCAGUAGCGUAGUAUCUUGUCUGGCGUAGCAGCAUUAUAGUCGUGGCGAAAGAGGCACCGAAAGAGAGAGAGAGAAAAUCGAGCAGUAUUACAGCGAGAAAAGAGCCAGAGGGUAUACGAGCACAGUAGACCACGAGAGGAUCGACGAUGUACAAGAGUAGAGGUACUCAUCACUGGGCUAGUUGGAGUUGUAAGGAGGCAUAUUUUGACCGGAAGAAACUUUGAAUGAGUGGGUCGUUGGGUCAACGAGAGCAGGGCUUUUAUUCCCACUCCAGGAGCACGAGAGCAGUAGCAGCACGGUUCUAUAGCGAUGGAGACGUGGUCCGUCGCGGUCCAUGGUGUGGAACAGCCGGUACGGAAGGAUCGCCGGAACGGUGGUAGCGUACAGCAGGAAGAGCACGAGCCAAUAAAGGAUGGGAUCCGUGAAAGGAGCAAAAGGAGGAAGCGGGAGGGAGAGAAAGAGUGAGAAAAGGCGAGGAGAACGAGAGUGAGCGUAAGAGAGGUAAAAUCCUCGGCGUGCUGCCGAACGUUUCAGCGCAGCGAAGGCGCGCUCCGCUCGAGUGGAGUUGUCGAGUAGCGUGUUAUGUGGCGUGGCGAGCUAUCCGACGGCGGCAACGUCGACGAUAGAAGUUUAACGCGAGGAGGGAUUUUGCCCCGAGCCGAGAGCGAAAUUCACUCUCUCUCUCUCUCUCGCUCUCCUCUCGCAUGCACACUCUACAAGUGCGGCCAAUGGAGUACGAGAGUGUGAGACAGAGAAAAAGGACAACGAGUUACAAGAGUGGAAAAAGACACGAAGCCGGAUCGUCGAGGGUCAGGGCGUGAUAUCUGAAUUCCUUUUCAUUCUCUCUCACUCUCACCCAAAAACACUCUCCAUUCCUGACCUCGCUUCUGACACGACAUUUUUCACGCCGAUUCAGCAGUAGCUUCCACCAUUUUUUAUGAAAUUGAGUUCCGCUGUUAUACACGAUGUUGUCAGCCAAAUUUACUUUUGUUCAUGGAGAAAUAUCGAACUGGAUAAUUUUGGAGAAUCUUUUCAUCGAAAACUAUUGGCUAAAGCCUCGGUGAUUAUUUUUCGUUGCAAAAAAUGUCGAAGCUGAAGAUGUAGAAAUUCUGUUUCAUUUCUCCAGAAGCAAAAGUUCAUUGACUCUUUUUUUUCUUACAUUUUUUUAUAUUAACAUAAAGAUCUGAAAAGAU
This 2306-nucleotide long non-coding RNA is filed under the name Venturia canescens. RNAcentral's name for it is "uncharacterized LOC122407825". The record is from RNAcentral. Lineage: Eukaryota; Metazoa; Arthropoda; Insecta; Hymenoptera; Ichneumonidae.